UCGAUACAACCGGUCACAGUUCGGAACUUGUUCCCGUUUAAUUCGGCCGCUAAAUUCUGUUUAUUCAGUGUUGUUUUAUAAUUUUUAUUAGAAAAAUUUAUGUGUCAAUGACAAAAUUGAAGAGAAAAUUCGCGAUAACCGACAAAUUUUUGCCAAGGCUCGCUAAAAAUCUGUGCACCCGAAAAGGCAGUCGUCGUGCUAAUACCGGGAACCGUUUGGAGCACGCCGUACUAACUCACAUUCAGCACGUACCGUAGAGUGUCCGUCGUAACUUCUUCACUCAUCAUCCAUCAUCAUCUCCCACUAAAACACGGUCGACAAGAUGGCCCGCGGCGAUGAAUGCAAAACUGCCACUAAGGCGACAUAUGCUUGCAAGCAAUUCGAUGUAUCUGCUCCAAUCAAAAAACCCACAGCUAGCCAGUCAACUAUUCAAGAAAAGAAAAAGCCGGAGCAGAAAAAUUACGGCGCCUGGGGUUCUACAUUCAAAGACAAGAAAACAUUUGUCGACAUGCAUAUUUGCUGAAUCAACGUCGGCUCCACAAUCAUCGCUUAUCUACAAAACGUCACCAACUACCAAAAAGAUUUGAUAUAAAAUAAAAAAUAAUGUUAGUGGCGUUUUAGCUUAUUCUCUUCACUUCAACGGUUUAGGGUGUCUCGCGUACUAACAAAGCCUUGUAUCAUGUUAACAAUUAAAGCAUCAUCAUUUGCA
This is a long non-coding RNA of Vanessa atalanta (red admiral), 709 nucleotides long. RefSeq lists it as uncharacterized. The record is from RefSeq and is a predicted model, not a curated record. Lineage: Eukaryota; Metazoa; Arthropoda; Insecta; Lepidoptera; Nymphalidae. The transcript has 3 exons.